GCCCUUUUAACUCGGCGGUAGAGUAACGCCAUGGUAAGGCGUAAGUCGUCGGUUCGAAUCCGAUAAAGGGCU
Molecule: transfer RNA, 72 nt
Filed under: Dichorisandra thyrsiflora
Lineage: Eukaryota; Viridiplantae; Streptophyta; Magnoliopsida; Commelinales; Commelinaceae
Description: tRNA-Thr
Rfam family: tRNA
About the family: Transfer RNA (tRNA) molecules are approximately 80 nucleotides in length. Their secondary structure includes four short double-helical elements and three loops (D, anti-codon, and T loops).
Source: RNAcentral